GGUUAUUGCCAGGGUUUUUAUUUUUAUACUUUAAACUUUGAUUUUAUUUUUAUGUUUUUUAAAUAUUGGUGUUUUUGAAUGUGUUGUUUAAAUAACAUAAAAAAUAAAAUAUAUAUUGACAUGUAUUAAACAAAGAUAUAUAUUAUUUUAUGUUGUAUAAAUAAAUUGGCAAAAUAGAGAUGGAAGAUAAAAAUAUGGUCAAAGUAAUAAGAGUCUAUGGUGAAUGCCUA
This 230-nucleotide unclassified non-coding RNA is filed under the name Borreliella burgdorferi (Lyme disease spirochete). Its description in RNAcentral is "partial 5S-23S ribosomal RNA intergenic spacer region". Lineage: Bacteria; Pseudomonadati; Spirochaetota; Spirochaetia; Spirochaetales; Borreliaceae. The record is from RNAcentral.